GGUUAACCCCGACUAGGCGAUGAGACCCUCUGGACUGGAGCACCCCAGGACUGGGGCCAGACCACCACCGGUGAUUUGCUGACAGUGCUUUUCUGGAAAGCCAGAAUUCUGGGCACCAAAGAUGGAUGGAACACAGGCCCUGCCCUCCGGGAGCUCGCGAUCUAGAUCUGGGUUGUCUAUCUAACCCAGGUUAGAGCUGCGGCUGCCUGGAGAGUUUGUUUUGCUGCUUGAGCUGAUGGUCCAGGGAUAAGAGGACAGUGGAAGGCAGGAAGGGGGUUCCGUUUUCUCAGGAAGGGUAACACCUGUGCAGACUUCAGGGGUGAGAGGCCAGAGCUUAGAGUUGCCGGGGCUAGAGGUGAUGUGCUAGAAGGAGGCAGGUGCUGGGUUCUGAAGACCCUCCUAACAUUCGCCCUGUCCCGAAACUACGGGGCAAAGUGGAGCAUGUCAGAGGAAAGAGAAAUCACCAGGUCUGUGAUAUAGGAUGACCCCUUGGACAGCCAAGUGGAGGCUUGACAGUGGGAUAAAAUCUGGAGGUAGAACCCCCAAUUUGCCCAAUUUGCAGGCUGAUCCUGACGAUGAAUGUCACAGGCUUAGACUGGGGCAGUGGCAGCAGGGACAGAGGAGGGGGCUGACUUGAGAGACGGUUUGGGAGCCAGGAUCAUGGAAUUUUGUGCCUAUUUGAGUCUGGGAGAUAAGGGAGCAAAGAAUGUCAAGGUUGGAGCCCCUGGUGUGAUAGACCAAGCUAGAAGCUUCUUCGGGUUGCCUUGAUUCAUACAACCUCCUUUUAUUGGUUGUGUGACCUUGGGCAAAUGACAACCUUCCGGAGCCUCGUUUUGCAAUCUGUAAAACAAAGAUACUGAAAUCGAUCUUGCGUGGUCAUUGUAUAUAUUAAAGAUAAUGUAUGCCAAGGCGUAGGGCUUAACUCGUAACAGGAAUUCAAUAAAUAGUAGAUGUAAUUAUGAUUGUUUCUCCUUUCCACAAACAUUUGUUGAGCACCUGAUAUGUGCCACGGAUUGUCCUAGAUCUUUGGGACGUAAGUCUCAUUCCCUAGUCACGUGUAGCUCACCAUCUAGUGGGAGAGAGCUAUGCAGAGGAUAGCCAUAUAGCCAAGCAAUACGGGCUGGUAUGGGCUGGGGCAGAGGAGGAAACUGUGCCCAAAGAAUCAAGGACAACUUCACCGAGGAGAGAUGACAGCUUAAACCACGUAGGGCCAGCUAUCGGCUCAGAGGCUACCAUAUCGCCCCCGUCUCCCAGACAAUGGAUUGUGUUUCAGAAUCUGAAAUGUUCCGUUUUGAAGGCAUUUGACAUGCUCCUCGGGGUUGGGAGAAGGGGGUGGACUACAGAUGAGUGUCUAUAUGAACCCAGGGAGUGGUACAUAGAACCUUGGCAACCCCAGGUCAGGGCAUGAGCAGAUGGGCAGACAGAAGAGGGGGACCAGGUAAGCGUGAACGUGGGCACGUGGCUGGAGCUUGCUAGCUGGGUAGGAGCCUAUAUGUGUGUGCACUUGGGCCGUCCUGAUUUUUCUGCUCCUUGUCUGUACCCUUCUAAAAAUUCCUUGCAAAACCAUUUGGUGUCCUCAGCCUGCCUCCCAUGCCAAUUUUCUUUCCAUCCAUCUCUUAACGAGCCCAGCUUGGUAGAAGCCGCGCUCCCUGGUCCUCCACUAAGGAAGGACUCCUGCCUUGCUGUCCCACCAAGCAAGACUCUGGGCUUUCCAGCUAGAUGGACUGUUGUUACAUCUCCGAUUUUCCCAUCUGUGACAUGGAGAUAGUAACAGUCCCCGUCUUGUGGAGCCGUUGUGAGGUUUCAAUGUGACGUGAAACUUGGUGGACAGGGGAUGCUUAUUUCCCUUCUCUGCCCAGUAACUGCCUCCUUGCAGAGGGUCAGACGAGACUGUCAGCUGGGGAUGUCCCCUGGCACACCGGCCUCUGGGGCCCCACGCUAUAGGCCUUCUCCUCUGCUGGCCUAAAUGGCAUCCCUGGGUGGCCCUGGUCACCCUAGGGUAUAGUGCUGGCAGGAUGACAGUAGGGGCCCAGCAGCGGCCCAGCCCACUCUCCCACUCCAAUCCUGUCUCUCCUCCCUGCUGCCGAUCACAUGCCACUGCUCUGCAGAUAGGACAGGCGUCCCUGGGCGCCCGAGGGCUGGCGGGGAAGCUGGAAACAGCUCUCCCUCACAGACUGUGUGGGCAGUGCAUUCGAAUAGCUUCUGAAAAACCAAAGUUCAAGCCCGCCCUACUUUCCCCUGGGAGGCUCAGCAUCCAGACAGGGAGACCGGCCAACGGAGAAUCUCCUUUCUGCACGUUGCUGCAAACUCUCCUCCCUUCUGGUGCUACCCACACAUGCGACACAGUCUCCAAAAGCACUGCAGGGACACUUGGGAGGCCCGGAGACCCGACUCUGCCCCUAAGGUGCCAAGAGCCGUUUCGUUUAUCUGGGCCUCAGUUUGCCUCCUCUGAAUAAUGGGGAAUGAUGUGAGUGCUGCCGCUCCGGAGGGUUAAAUGAGAGUGUGAAUGCGAAAGUUUACUUUGUGAAAACACCUGCCUGUGUAUGAGAUCAUUAGUGUUUGGCCAAAGAGACCUUCUUAGGGUUCUCAGGAGACAAGUGAAGACAAGAGAAAUGGGAAACUCAGAACAGAGAGAAGUCUUCCCCAAGGACGUCUGUGACCUCAGCAGGAGGAGGGAGAAUGGCAACACGGAGCCUGGCCCAUGGACCACCCUGCUGUGGGCUAGCUCCUUACGAGUGUGUGAGUCCGUAGGGGCGGCAGGACGUGGCCUUGGUCAGCCGAUGCUUACUCCUCCCCUGAAGAAACUCAGACCAUUGUUUUCCAGUGACUUAUGGAGAGUGAGGGUGACUAGGGUCAGUGUCAUUUACCUGGUUCCAGUGUGAUGCCACUACAGAGCCCGGGAGCUGCCACUUUGUCACUGCACCAGGCAUCACGUCCUCUCCUCACUGCUUGUGCUAAAUGCACGGGCGCACAUGUACUCGUGCGUGUGUGUGAACACACACACACGCACACACACCCCAUGCACAACCACUCCAGACUUCCGAUGGAACAACAGCUGCGCCCCCAGAAGGUUCUAGAACAGGGUAGGCAUGUAAACAGAGUAAGCCAAUCACAGCCCUGUUGACCCUAGCAACCAUCAACCCGACUAGAACCCCCACCCCCACCCCGAGUCCGGCAGUGCCUCCCAAACACACCAUAUACACACACAACCUUCAGGUUGCUGCAUUGCCAUGGCAACGAAACCAUCACACAAAGCAGGGAAAAUGGGAAAGUGGCCCUUAGCAACAAGACCGGACCAGUCAUUGGGGUGAGCACGCCAGCAGCACUGGCUAGCGUGAGGUCACGGUGCGGAGAGGGUCCCCAUGCAGGGAGGGGAGGAAAAGAGGGCUGGUGUGUCUGGACUUCGAAGCCCAGUUUUUAGCCCUGGGCCUCCGCUCGCUCACCUUUGACCUGUAGGGCCGCAGACGCCUUCUUGUAUUUUAGUGUAUCCCCAGCGUGUGCCUGUAUUAUCGCGUUGCAAUUACUUUUUAACCAAUAAAUAAGGAUAGGAACUAUAGGUGAUCUUUUCAGAAAACCUCCAGAAUGUUGAGACUCCUGGGGAAAAGAAGACUUCCGAUUGAUCCUCAGAGAGACCCUAAAAUCCAGCUCGUGAGUUCCUCGUAGAGUUGGGCCUCGAUUCAGUUUGUAAACAUUUCCUUGGUAUCUACCCUGUGCCAGGCCGGGUCAGCCAGGCCCUGACGUCAGCCGUGGCUGGGUGGGCUGGGCGGGGCCUGCAGAACGUAUCGGGUGGUGAGAGCGUCCUGGAGGUCUGUCGGGAAGUCUGGAGCAGGUGCUUAUACGAACAGCAGGCUGCCUGCAGGAGAUUUUGCUCCGGGCCAAGGGAGAGGGCUGAAGCUGGGACCCUGCGGGCGCCCUUGGCGAACUGGCUUCUGACGUCCAUGCCUCAUCAUCCUCCCUUCAGCCAGCUACCAGAGAGACCUUAAUUCAAAAUGAAAAUUUGACAAUGGGCUCCUCUGCCCAGCUUCUUCUUCCCGUGGCUCCCCAACAGCCUUGGGUCCCCUCCUUCAGAAUCUGACGACAGCUGAGAGACUCCCUUCCUAGCAUCCAAAACAUACAUGCCCAGCAUUUUCCAUUCAUUUUGGGGAGCUACGGGCCUCUUCAAGCUCCUUCAUGGACUUGAUUGGGGGGGAAUAGCAUGUGAAGGCCCCUGCGGCCAGCCUCUGCCUCCCUCAUCAGCUCACUUGGCUUGCCCCGCCCCCACCCCCGGUAUAUAACAGGCCACACCAAACAAUGUGCACUCCCCUUGCGGGCACCGCCAUACUGGCCUGCUUCAUGCCUUUGUGCCUGUGUUCCCACCAACUGGAGAGGCCUCGUCCUUCACCUGUUACCUGGUAAACUCCUAUUCAUGCUUCAAAACCCUGUUCAGGAGUCAACACCUCAUAGUUUUUGAUGCUGACCAGACAGGCUUGAUCACUCCGUGGUCUGAAGUACUCUCAUUACCUGUCUCCCACUACAUGGGGGAUCUGUGUCUGUCUUCUUUAUCGAGCUUUGAGUUUCCUGAGGCCACACACCACUUCUUAGCCUUUAUGUCCCUAGUUCCUAGCAUGUAAUAGGUCUGGGGAACCAAAAUAGCAGGACCAAGUUGGCAGAGGAAACAGAGCUGACAAAGGAGG
Long non-coding RNA from Herpailurus yagouaroundi (jaguarundi), 4673 nucleotides. RefSeq lists it as uncharacterized. The transcript is spliced from 2 exons. The record is from RefSeq and is a predicted model, not a curated record. NCBI's taxonomy places the organism in Eukaryota, Metazoa, Chordata, Mammalia, Carnivora, Felidae.